RNAcentral lists this ribosomal RNA (395 nucleotides) under uncultured bacterium. RNAcentral describes it as "partial 16S ribosomal RNA". It matches the Rfam family "Bacterial small subunit ribosomal RNA", at positions 523 to 918 of the family's 1533-position model. The record is from RNAcentral.
AUACGUAGGGAGCGAGCGUUGUCCGGAAUUACUGGGUGUAAAGGGAGCGUAGGCGGGAGUGCAAGUCAGAUGUGAAAUACAUGGGCUCAACCCAUGGGCUGCAUUUGAAACUGCAUUUCUUGAGUGAAGUAGAGGUAAGCGGAAUUCCUGUGUAGCGGUGAAAUGCGUAGAUAUCAGGAGGAACACCGGUGGCGAAGGCGGCUUACUGGGCUUUUACUGACGCUGAGGCUCGAAAGCGUGGGGAGCAAACAGGAUUAGAUACCCUGGUAGUCCACGUUGUAAACGAUGAUUACUAGGUGUGGGGGGACUGACCCCUUCCGUGCCGCAGUUAACACAAUAAGUAAUCCACCUGGGGAGUACGGCCGCAAGGUUGAAACUCAAAUGAAUUGACGGGG